This 484-nucleotide ribosomal RNA is filed under the name uncultured bacterium. RNAcentral describes it as "bacterial SSU rRNA". It matches the Rfam family "Bacterial small subunit ribosomal RNA", at positions 28 to 507 of the family's 1533-position model. The record is from RNAcentral.
GACGAACGCUGGCGGCGUGCCUAACACAUGCAAGUCGAACGGACUUUUAAUGGAACGAAGCUUCGGCCGAGGGAAAUUAAGAGUUAGUGGCGGACGGGUGAGUAACACGUGGAUAAUCUGCCCAUAAGUUUGGGAUAACACUCCGAAAGGGGUGCUAAUACCGGAUAAUGUCAUUAAGUCGCAUGGCUUGAUGAAGAAAGGGGAAACCCGCUUAUGGAUGAGUCCGCGGCCCAUUAGCUAGUUGGUGAGGGUAACGGCCCACCAAGGCGACGAUGGGUAGCCGGCCUGAGAGGGUGGACGGCCACACUGGGACUGAGACACGGCCCAGACUCCUACGGGAGGCAGCAGUGGGGAAUAUUCCGCAAUGGGCGAAAGCCUGACGGAGCGACGCCGCGUGGGUGAAGAAGGCCUUAGGUUGUAAAGCCCUGUCAAGUGGGACGAGAUAGGACGGUACCGACUAGAGGAAGCCCCGGCUAACUACGUG